Equus caballus (horse) is the source of this 431-nucleotide long non-coding RNA. RefSeq lists it as uncharacterized. NCBI's taxonomy places the organism in Eukaryota, Metazoa, Chordata, Mammalia, Perissodactyla, Equidae. The record is from RefSeq and is a predicted model, not a curated record.
CCAUAGCAACCGGCUGUGAUGGAGGCUGAGCCACUGCCUUUGGUUAAGGGGUGCUAGGUGGAAGGACAAAAGGACAGGGCAAGCUGGAGAUGGCCUCCUCACCUUCCUCUUCCUCACAGCAGCUGCUGCUGCCUGGAAAGGAUCAGAUGUGCUCAUGGCCUGCAUCGAACCUGAUCAGCUGGAUGUGGGAUUGGCACGGGCCACGUGCAAAGGGAAAAAUCCCAGCCACCAUCUGACACCUGCCUUCGUCCCAAGGUGAGAUGUCCAGCGUCUCAGAGGGCAACCAGGGACUUCGAGAAGAAACUUUCCUUCUUCCCUCCUCCCUUCCGUCUCCCCUCUCUCUUGCUCAUUUUUCAAGUGUUCAGUACAUGCCGGGCAACUGUUGUAGGUAGUGAGGAAUAUGGCACUGAGCAAAAUCAAUAAAAAAUAGA